Molecule: long non-coding RNA, 1474 nt
Organism: Tachysurus fulvidraco (yellow catfish)
Lineage: Eukaryota; Metazoa; Chordata; Actinopteri; Siluriformes; Bagridae
Exons: 6
Source: RefSeq, a predicted model, not a curated record
AAACAAAGGCGUUAACGUGGCACUCUCCCAGGAUACCUUGAGGUCGCUGAACACACGGAAAAUAAAAGCCGCCAUGUUGGUGGUCCUGUUUAUGUGUUUUCGGGUCACUUUGGAGUGAAACAGGUUGCUGGUUUACAGGACGGACACUACAUGCUUUCUCUGGAGGUACCGGGUUGGACGAUGAAACUGAAACACUGGUGGUUAUAGUUUUGGAGGUUUCGCAUCUACAUAAACUUGAUCUGUUGGACAGUCUUCACCGAUUCCAUAAGAGCAGAGUGUAGGUUGAAUCAGCAGAGCAGUAACACACCUGCAGCUAAAACACUGCAGUCCACACAACAUAAUGGGAGAUAUAUCCGAGUUCAAAAGAGGACAAAUCGUUGGUGCUCGUCUCGCCGGAGCAUCCGUGAGCAGGACAGCAGGUCUUUGUGAUGUAUCGAGAGCCACGGUGUCCAAAGUAAUGACCGCAUACGUUCUCGAAGGACGAACUACAUCUAAGAGGAGUAACUGUCGACGUAAGAGGAAACUGUCAGAAAAGGAUGUACAGGUACUAAUCCAGAUCGUAUCCAGAAACCCUGAAACCACGGCUGCCAAAAUCACUGCAGAAUUAAACGCACACCUCAACUCUCCCGUUUCCACCAAAACUGUUCGGCGAGAGCUCCACAGGGCCAAUAUAUACGGUGGUGCUCAAAAAAAAAACAUGAAUGUUUAAAAUUCUGUUCUUAAGUGUGUUUUAUAAAAUGUUUAGGAAACUUCCUUUUAAAAUGAUGUGACAGACACCAUGGUGAAGGAAUCUCACUGGAUUCUAAUCUCAGGUCAUUGAGUAUUUUUGUGCACAUGAUGUUUUUCCUCGUGUUUUAGCCUUGACUGUUAUCUAAACUCUAAAGUUUGUCCUCCUGCUUCCACGCAUCAGCUUUAAAGCCAGAUGUGUCCCAUUUAGACACAGAUUUCAUUAUAUAGAGCAUCAAUAUACUGUCGUGGGUUUUUUCAUGCUCUUGGUUUCUUGUUUCUUCCUUAAGCAGAUGAAAAUAUACUGUUUUUUUUUUUUGACCAAGAAGAAGAACACAGACAAUAAGAAGUUUGUCAUUAUUAAGGACUCAUCAACCACCAAUAUGGCGAUUCUAACAGCCCGUUGUUCAUCGGGACCUUUAGUACGGGUGUAUUUUAUUAUAAUCAGGCAUCAUCAGCGGAUACCAUGAGGUCCUUGAAGACCUGGUAGAUAAAAGCCGCCAUGUUGAAGGUCCCAGUCUUUCUAUUUCCGACUGGAGCAACUUGCUCGUUAGCUGGACGGACACUGAACACACUCUCUGGAGGACAGCAUGGACGGUGAUGAAGAGUGAAGACUACGUUUGGGGAAAAUUCAAGUAUAGAAGAGAAUUUUUUUUUUUUUUUUUUUUCUAGUUUCUGAAAUCAGCUCGAUGUCUCCGUGAUCUGAAGUGUGUACGAGUCUUAAUAAAGUCCUCCGUUUAAAAACUGA